RNAcentral lists this ribosomal RNA (1376 nucleotides) under uncultured bacterium. RNAcentral describes it as "bacterial SSU rRNA". It matches the Rfam family "Bacterial small subunit ribosomal RNA", at positions 27 to 1393 of the family's 1533-position model. The record is from RNAcentral.
GAACGAACGCUGGCGGCGUGGUUAAGGCAUGCAAGUCGAGCGGACUCGCCGAAAGGCGGGUUAGCGGCGAACGGGUGAGGAAUACAUGGAUAACGUACCCCAGACACGGGGAUAACGGCGCCUUUGGCCGAUAGGCCAAGGGCUAGCGAAAGCGCCGGUAAUACCCGAUGACCCCGUAGGAUCGCAUGAUCCCGCGGGCAAAACUUCGGCGGUCUGGGAGCGGUUCAUGUCCUAUCAGCUAGUUGGUGAGGUAACGGCUCACCAAGGCAACGACGGGUAUGGGGCGUGAGAGCGUGACCCCACACAUCGGGACUGAGACACGGCCCGGACACCUACGGGUGGCUGCAGCAACGAAUAUUCCGCAAUGGGCGAAAGCCUGACGGAGCGACGCCGCGUGCAGGAAGAAGUCCUUCGGGAUGUAAACUGCUGUCAGGGGUGAGGAAUUUUGACCAGCCCCAAAGGAAGUACUGGCUAACUCCGUGCCAGCAGCCGCGGUAAGACGGAGAGUACAAGCGUUGUUCGGAAUCAUUGGGCUUAAAGCGCGUGCAGGCGGGGCGCUAGGUGUUGGGUGAAAUCCCCGGGCUCAACCCGGGAAUGGCUCAGCAAACCGGCGCUCUUGAGGCAGGUAGAGGUGACUGGAACGACCGGUGGAGCGGUGAAAUGCGUAGAUAUCGGUUGGAACGCGGGAGGCGAAAGCGGGUCACUGGGCCUGCCCUGACGCUGAGACGCGAAAGCGUGGGGAGCGAAGAGGAUUAGAUACCCUCGUAGUCCACGCCGUAAACGAUGCGCACUAGGUAUGGAAGGUUCUGACACCGACCGUGCCGAAACAAAAGCGAUAAGUGCGCCGCCUGGGGAGUACGGCCGCAAGGCUAAAACUCAAAGGAAUUGACGGGGGCUCACACAAGCGGUGGAGCAUGUGGAUCAAUUCGAAGCAACGCGAAGAACCUUACCUGGGUUUGACAUGCACGGAUGCGUCUGCUGAAAGGCGGAUCCGCUGCCUUCGGGUGAAACGUGCACAGGUGCUGCAUGGCUGUCGUCAGCUCGUGCUGUGAAGUGUCGGGUUAAGUCCCACAACGAGCGAAACCCCUAUCGUUAGUUGCCAGCGGGUCAUGCCGGGGACUCUAGCGAGACUGCCGGCGUCAAGCCGGAGGAAGGUGGGGAUGACGUCAAGUCAUCAUGGCCUUUAUGCCCAGGGUUUCACACGUGCUACAAUGGGCGCCACAGAGCGACGCGAGACCGCGAGGUGGAGCAAAUCGCACAAAAGCGCCCUCAGUUCAGAUUGGAGUCUGCAACCCGACUCCAUGAAGCUGGAAUCGCUAGUAAUCGCGGAUCAGCCACGCCGCGGUGAAUGUGUUCCUGAGCCUUGUACACACCGC